Molecule: ribosomal RNA, 819 nt
Filed under: Escherichia coli
Lineage: Bacteria; Pseudomonadati; Pseudomonadota; Gammaproteobacteria; Enterobacterales; Enterobacteriaceae
Description: partial 23S ribosomal RNA
Rfam family: Bacterial large subunit ribosomal RNA
Source: RNAcentral
UAGGGCGGGACACGUGGUAUCCUGUCUGAAUAUGGGGGGACCAUCCUCCAAGGCUAAAUACUCCUGACUGACCGAUAGUGAACCAGUACCGUGAGGGAAAGGCGAAAAGAACCCCGGCGAGGGGAGUGAAAAAGAACCUGAAACCGUGUACGUACAAGCAGUGGGAGCACAGAGCAAUCUGUGUGACUGCGUACCUUUUGUAUAAUGGGUCAGCGACUUAUAUUCUGUAGCAAGGUUAACCGAAUAGGGGAGCCGAAGGGAAACCGAGUCUUAACUGGGCGUUAAGUUGCAGGGUAUAGACCCGAAACCCGGUGAUCUAGCCAUGGGCAGGUUGAAGGUUGGGUAACACUAACUGGAGGACCGAACCGACUAAUGUUGAAAAAUUAGCGGAUGACUUGUGGCUGGGGGUGAAAGGCCAAUCAAACCGGGAGAUAGCUGGUUCUCCCCGAAAGCUAUUUAGGUAGCGCCUCGUGAAUUCAUCUCCGGGGGUAGAGCACUGUUUCGGCAAGGGGGUCAUCCCGACUUACCAACCCGAUGCAAACUGCGAAUACCGGAGAAUGUUAUCACGGGAGACACACGGCGGGUGCUAACGUCCGUCGUGAAGAGGGAAACAACCCAGACCGCCAGCUAAGGUCCCAAAGUCAUGGUUAAGUGGGAAACGAUGUGGGAAGGCCCAGACAGCCAGGAUGUUGGCUUAGAAGCAGCCAUCAUUUAAAGAAAGCGUAAUAGCUCACUGGUCGAGUCGGCCUGCGCGGAAGAUGUAACGGGGCUAAACCAUGCACCGAAGCUGCGGCAGCGACGCUUAUGCGUUGUUGGGUA